GGCAAUCCGCUCCGGUGUGUUUCCAUGCUGUGGGAGGUUUGUUCUUUCGCUCUUCACAAUAAAUCUUGCUGCUGCUCACUGUGGGUCCACACUACCUUUAUGAGCUGUAACACUCACCUUGAAGGUCUGCAGCUUCGCUCCUGAAGUUAGCAAAACCACGAACCCACCGGAGGAAUGAACAACUCCGGGCAUGCCACCUUUAAGAGCUGUAACACUCACUGCGAAGGUUUGUGGCUUCACUCCUGAAGUCAGCAAGACCACGAACCCGCCAGAAGGAAGAAACCGGACACAUCUGAACAUUGGAAGGAACAAACUCCGGACACACCAUCUUUAAGAACUGUAACACUCACUGCGAGGGUCUGCAGCUUUAUUCUUGAAGUCAGCCAGACUAAGAACUCACGGGAAGGAACCAGUUCCGGCCACAAGAACAGCAGCUGUUCAUGCCCAGAACUGUUUAUCAGGCGGGUCACUCCGUGGCCCCAUGCAGGCCUGAGGUCACCAGUUCCCUAUUUCAGGGGGCCACAAGCUGGGACUGAAGACAGCAAAGCUCAGGGCCAUGUACUAGCCCAGGAGUCAGAAGUCCACCAUCCAAAGCUGGGUCUGCCACCCUCUCACUCUGCAUCCUGUAGUGGAGUUCUCAGGAGCCCUGGGCUUCAAGCGUUCUUUUCGCUUAUAGAACGCAUCUUUUUUCCCCUCCAAUAUUUCAAGUUCCUGGAUGAGUUCCCAUCUGUCCCUGGGUGUAGCAUCACCACAGAUUCUUCGAUGGCUAGGAAGGACUCUAAUUUUUCUGUUUCUUAUAUUAGGUAGGACUUAUUUGGCUGUGUGUAAUAGAAAUCCCAAGUAACAGCGGCUGAAACAGGAUCAACAUCUCUUUCCUUCUACUGUAAAAGGCUAAAUGAAGGUGGCAGGAUGGCUCUGCGUUAAUCCCCAAACCGGGCUCUCCAGGCCACCUGCUUGGCUAUUCCUGGGAGGUAGUUCUGAAUUUCAUGGCUUAGGGGACUCCAGCCAUCACAUCCACGUCCCCCAGGCAGGAGGGAGAAAGCAAAAGGUGAGGCACGACCCUUCCUUUAGUGGAUCUCAUCCCAGAUGUUAUACACAACCCUUCCCCGACAUUACAUUGGUCGGCAAAGUCA
This 1133-nucleotide long non-coding RNA is filed under the name Homo sapiens (human). RNAcentral describes it as "HSALNT0357203". The record is from RNAcentral. Lineage: Eukaryota; Metazoa; Chordata; Mammalia; Primates; Hominidae.